Molecule: ribosomal RNA, 364 nt
Filed under: uncultured bacterium
Lineage: Bacteria
Description: bacterial SSU rRNA
Rfam family: Bacterial small subunit ribosomal RNA
Source: RNAcentral
AGCGAACGCUGGCGGCAGGCUUAACACAUGCAAGUCGAACGGAUCCUUCGGGAUUAGUGGCGGACGGGUGAGUAACACGUGGGAACGUGCCUUUUGGUUCGGAACAACACAGGGAAACUUGUGCUAAUACCGGAUGUGCCCUUCGGGGAAGAUUAUCGCCAUUAGAGCGGCCCGCGUCUGAUUAGCUAGUUGGUGAGGUAAAGGCUCACCAAGGCUACGAUCAGUAGCUGGUCNGAGAGGAUGAUCAGCCACACUGGGACUGAGACACGGCCCAGACUCCUACGGGAGGCAGCAGGUGGGGAAUCUUGCGCAAGUGGGGGAAACCCUGACGCAGCCAUGCCGCGUGAAUGAUGAAGGUCUUAGG